GGAUUUUCUGGCUUAGCCAUGUCCUCUAAGCUCCUCACAUUUGAUAGAGAGGUGAAUGAUUGUGAUUUCCCAUUGUAAUGUUUUGACAAACCUCUCUUGAAGGGAAGUUCUUGUAGAAGAGUGGACAUAUUUUGCAAAGCUCCUUUUGUGUGUUCAUCAUGACUUAUUGAAUCACUACAAGAAGAAUUCGGAGAAGUUGGAUCCGAAGAAUCCCCUUCUCCUCCUCCUUCUUCGUCAAACAACUCCGAAUCAG
RNAcentral lists this unclassified non-coding RNA (253 nucleotides) under Hevea brasiliensis (rubber tree). Lineage: Eukaryota; Viridiplantae; Streptophyta; Magnoliopsida; Malpighiales; Euphorbiaceae. The record is from RNAcentral.